This is a non-coding RNA of Potamilus streckersoni, 81 nucleotides long. Lineage: Eukaryota; Metazoa; Mollusca; Bivalvia; Unionida; Unionidae. The record is from the annotation of a GenBank genome assembly.
GACCACUCCGGUGGCCUUAGCGGUUAGAACGUCCGCCUCGGACGCGGGAGGUCGCUGCUUCGAUCUACACAGGCCGAGUCA